UUUAACGAAGACACUUGUCUUUAAUUUGAGAUACUUGUACAGCUCCGCUACAGCGUCGCGUGCGAAUGACGUCAUCAACCGCGCUGGGCCGCUUGUGGAUGACGUCAUUCACAUGCAGCUGCGAUCGUAUCUUUCGCGCCGAAAGAUAACGGCUGGGACUAAGUAAAAAGUAGUAAAAAUGGAGACAUAGCGAAACGCUGAUGUCUCCAUUUUUACUGCUUUUUACUACUUGAAUGGACUGAGGGUGAUGAUAGUGGGGCGCAUAGUAUUUUGGCGAUUGACUGUGUCCGGAACUUUUCAGUUCAAGAUUUUUUUGCCUCGACUGAACAAAACGAGAAGCUGGUGGAAUGGCGAAACGGCCGCCAACCCUGGCCGGUUCACCCAGCCAAAUUGACGUGGCAAUAAAAAGGGAGGGUCUUCCAAAAACAAGCACCAGGAGGGUGAGAAGCAGGAGGAGGGUCAUGACAGACUUUCAAAGAACAAGGUUGUCGUGAAAAAGAAAAAUGUUUCUAAAUACGAGACAGGAGGAGGAGGAGAAAGUGGAUGAUGAGGCGCGUCAUGACACAAAGAACAAGGUGGGAAGCCAACCAGAGGGGACGGGGAGCAGCUGGUUGCCCUGGACAAAAUUAAAAAGGCAGCCAUUAUUGGUGAGUAAAUGCAUAAAGUGUUGAGAAGGGAAAACAAAACUUUUAAGACUUUAUAAGUUCACCACUUUAACCAUAGCCUACUUGUAUCAAUGUAUAUUAGGCAUCAAUGGAGACUGGAUAAGGUAGGGCACCCAUUAUUGUUACUGUAUCUGCUUAGCACCUAUAAUACUAAUUCAUUGCUUGCUCACUUUUUGAUCCCACCUUUCCUUUUCUAAAGCCACAUUUCUGGGGUAUUGCCCUCAAUGUGUGUAGUCCUCUAUUUUGUAGAACAUAUAUUGUUGCAAAUAACCUCAUGGCAUAUUGUUGUUGUCUGAAGUGUUCAUAAAUAAUAUUCACCCCUCCUUCACCCUUAAUCCCCUCUGUCCUGCCUUAUUUUGUCUAUGCCGGUAAUUGAUUUGCUUGAUUUUAAUGCAUACCUUCUUCGAGCAUGGUGUGUGUGUGUGUGUAAAACAAAGGUCUUGUUUGCUCAAAGCCCAGCCCAGAGAACACGGAAUGUGUUAAAAAGUCAGGAUUUGUUAAUUCAGAACAGAUGGCUGAAUGCCAUUCGCUCAUUAUUGUUACAAUAUUAUUAUAUUGUCUAAUUAUUUUUGUCUUCUCUAGAUGCUACAUUGAAGAAAUGGCCGGCAGCCAGCCGAGGGCAGAUAGGCACAGCUAUAAAUUCCAAGCUCGCAGAGAUGCGAAGAUCCAUUA
Long non-coding RNA from Pungitius pungitius (ninespine stickleback), 1337 nucleotides. RefSeq lists it as uncharacterized. The transcript is spliced from 4 exons. The record is from RefSeq and is a predicted model, not a curated record. NCBI's taxonomy places the organism in Eukaryota, Metazoa, Chordata, Actinopteri, Perciformes, Gasterosteidae.